AGGGUAAGUCGGGACCUAAGGCGAGGCCGAAAGGCGUAGUCGAUGGGAAACAGGUUAAUAUUCCUGUACUUGGUGUUACUGCGAAGGGGGGACGGAGAAGGCUAUGUCGGCCGGGCGACGGUUGUCCCGGUUUAAGCAUGUAGGCGGAGGUUCCAGGUAAAUCCGGUACCUUAUUAACGCUGAGGUGUGAUGACGAGGCACUACGGUGCUGAAGCAACAAAUGCCCUGCUUCCAGGAAAAGCCUCUAAGCAUCAGGUAACAUCAAAUCGUACCCCAAACCGACACAGGUGGUCAGGUAGAGAAUACCAAGGCGCUUGAGAGAACUCGGGUGAAGGAACUAGGCAAAAUGGUGCCGUAACUUCGGGAGAAGGCACGCUGAUAUGUAGGUGAAGCGACUUGCUCGUGGAGCUGAAAUCAGUCGAAGAUACCAGCUGGCUGCAACUGUUUAUUAAAAACACAGCACUGUGCAAACACGAAAGUGGACGUAUACGGUGUGACGCCUGCCCGGUGCCGGAAGGUUAAUUGAUGGGGUUAGCGGUAACGCGAAGCUCUUGAUCGAAGCCCCGGUAAACGGCGGCCGUAACUAUAACGGUCCUAAGGUAGCGAAAUUCCUUGUCGGGUAAGUUCCGACCUGCACGAAUGGCGUAAUGAUGGCCAGGCUGUCUCCACCCGAGACUCAGUGAAAUUGAACUCGCUGUGAAGAUGCAGUGUACCCGCGGCAAGACGGAAAGACCCCGUGAACCUUUACUAUAGCUUGACACUGAACAUUGAGCCUUGAUGUGUAGGAUAGGUGGGAGGCUUUGAAGUGUGGACGCCAGUCUGCAUGGAGCCGACCUUGAAAUACCACCCUUUAAUGUUUGAUGUUCUAACGUUGGCCCGUAAUCCGGGUUGCGGACAGUGUCUGGUGGGUAGUUUGACUGGGGCGGUCUCCUCCUAAAGAGUAACGGAGGAGCACGAAGGUUGGCUAAUCCUGGUCGGACAUCAGGAGGUUAGUGCAAUGGCAUAAGCCAGCUUGACUGCGAGCGUGACGGCGCGAGCAGGUGCGAAAGCAGGUCAUAGUGAUCCGGUGGUUCUGAAUGGAAGGGCCAUCGCUCAACGGAUAAAAGGUACUCCGGGGAUAACAGGCUGAUACCGCCCAAGAGUUCAUAUCGACGGCGGUGUUUGGCACCUCGAUGUCGGCUCAUCACAUCCUGGGGCUGAAGUAGGUCCCAAGGGUAUGGCUGUUCGCCAUUUAAAGUGGUACGCGAGCUGGGUUUAGAACGUCGUGAGACAGUUCGGUCCCUAUCUGCCGUGGGCGCUGGAGAACUGAGGGGGGCUGCUCCUAGUACGAGAGGACCGGAGUGGACGCAUCACUGGUGUUCGGGUUGUCAUGCCAAUGGCACUGCCCGGUAGCUAAAUGCGGAAGAGAUAAGUGCUGAAAGCAUCUAAGCACGAAACUUGCCCCGAGAUGAGUUCUCCCUGACUCCUUGAGAGUCCUGAAGGAACGUUGAAGACGACGACGUUGAUAGGCCGGGUGUGUAAGCGCAGCGAUGCGUUGAGCUAACCGGUACUAAUGAACCGUGAGGCUUAACCUU
RNAcentral lists this ribosomal RNA (1574 nucleotides) under human gut metagenome. RNAcentral's name for it is "bacterial LSU rRNA". It matches the Rfam family "Bacterial large subunit ribosomal RNA", at positions 1376 to 2925 of the family's 2925-position model. The record is from RNAcentral.